AGAAGUAUAUUGCUGCUUCCACCAUAAUAGUACUUCUAGCAAGUUCCUCUUGCUUUUAAAAUAAAUGGCAGAGACAUUUUCUGUUGCUGACAGCCAAAGAAUCUCAAUAAAGAGAAUCCAUGAGCUUUUCAUCACUCUGUAUACCUGCUGAGGGCCCUCAAUCUGCUGUGUCAAUCAUGGUUUCAGCACCUGGUAUCAUGCCUCUUACCACACAUAAGGAAAACUCUGAACACAGAAGGCAGGAGAACCACUCAAGCUCCUGUUAAAGGAAAAAUGUAAAGAUGACAGAAAAGGUGCUGCAUAAUUGAAUGGACAAUUCAGAAAGCAUAUGACUAAGCAGAAAACCUGGGAAACAUUCCAUAUUACCAGAUAAGAAGAACACAGGCAUCUGCUCACAGCGGAAACAGGCAGAACUCUCUGUCUCCAGUACACAUUUGCAUGGAGACCAAAGUGGAAAUGGAUGCAGAGGACGUAGGAUAUUACGAGUUGCUCUCUGACAUUUGUUAUCUCUCCUAUACACUCAUUUGGUAUUUUAGGGCAGCUUCCCUGGAAGCGCUGGAUUUAUUGAAGGUGGGCUCCCAGGACAACUCAGAGAGAGG
Long non-coding RNA from Diceros bicornis minor, 599 nucleotides. RefSeq lists it as uncharacterized. NCBI's taxonomy places the organism in Eukaryota, Metazoa, Chordata, Mammalia, Perissodactyla, Rhinocerotidae. The transcript is spliced from 3 exons. The record is from RefSeq and is a predicted model, not a curated record.